Molecule: non-coding RNA, 30 nt
Filed under: Rattus norvegicus (Norway rat)
Lineage: Eukaryota; Metazoa; Chordata; Mammalia; Rodentia; Muridae
Source: RNAcentral
UGGGAAAAGGUACAUUCAGCAGAUUGGCUA